UACGUAGGGUGCAAGCGUUGUCCGGAAUUAUUGGGCGUAAAGAGCUCGUAGGCGGUUUGUCGCGUCUGCUGUGAAAACUCGGGGCUUAACUCCGGGCCUGCAGUGGGUACGGGCAGACUAGAGUGCGGUAGGGGAGACUGGAAUUCCCGGUGUAGCGGUGAAAUGCGCAGAUAUCGGGAGGAACACCGGUGGCGAAGGCGGUUCUCUGGGCCUUACCUGACGCUGAGGAGCGAAAGCGUGGGGAGCGAACAGG
Molecule: ribosomal RNA, 253 nt
Filed under: uncultured bacterium
Lineage: Bacteria
Description: partial 16S ribosomal RNA
Rfam family: Bacterial small subunit ribosomal RNA
Source: RNAcentral